RNAcentral lists this transfer RNA (77 nucleotides) under Candidatus Saccharimonadota bacterium. Its description in RNAcentral is "Candidatus Saccharibacteria bacterium tRNA-Ile". It matches the Rfam family "tRNA". From Rfam's summary of the family: Transfer RNA (tRNA) molecules are approximately 80 nucleotides in length. Their secondary structure includes four short double-helical elements and three loops (D, anti-codon, and T loops). The record is from RNAcentral. Lineage: Bacteria; Candidatus Saccharimonadota.
GGGACCGUAGCUCAGCUGGUUAGAGCGCGUCACUGAUAAUGACGAGGUCGGAGGUUCGAGUCCUCCCGGUCCCACCA